RNAcentral lists this ribosomal RNA (254 nucleotides) under uncultured bacterium. RNAcentral describes it as "partial 16S ribosomal RNA". It matches the Rfam family "Bacterial small subunit ribosomal RNA", at positions 524 to 776 of the family's 1533-position model. The record is from RNAcentral.
UACGUAGGUGGCAAGCGUUGUCCGGAAUUAUUUGGGCGUAAAGCGCGCGCAGGCGGUCUCUUAAGUCUGAUGUGAAAGCCCACGGCUCAACCGUGGAGGGUCAUUGGAAACUGGGGGACUUGAGUGCAGAAGAGGAAAGCGGAAUUCCACGUGUAGCGGUGAAAUGCGUAGAGAUGUGGGAGGAACACCAGUGGCGAAGGCGCUUUCUGGUCUGUAACUACGUGAGGCGCGAAAAGCGUGGGGAGCAAAACAGG